This 71-nucleotide transfer RNA is filed under the name Ovis aries (sheep). It matches the Rfam family "tRNA". From Rfam's summary of the family: Transfer RNA (tRNA) molecules are approximately 80 nucleotides in length. Their secondary structure includes four short double-helical elements and three loops (D, anti-codon, and T loops). Lineage: Eukaryota; Metazoa; Chordata; Mammalia; Artiodactyla; Bovidae. The record is from Rfam by way of RNAcentral.
UCCCGAUGGCUCAGAGGGUAAAGCGCCUGUCAGCAAUGCAGGAGACUCAGGUUCGAUCCCUGGGUCAGGAA